CAAUAGAAGUUUAUUUCCAGCUUAUGUAAAGUCUAAUGGCGGCCGUAGCAGGGAGGUGGGGCGGGGGAGAGAAGGCUUGGCUCCAUCAGGCUUAUGCAGGCUCUGGCAACUUCAACAUGUGGCUUCAAGGUCGCCUUGGAUGCUGACAUCCGACUACCAGAUAGGGGAAAAUAUGAAUGGAGGGCUGAACAGUUUUAUUGGUCAGGCCUGGCAGUGGGAUCCAUCACUUCUUCCCACUUUUCAUUGGUCAGAUGUGGUCAUAUGUACACACUUAAUGUCAAGGGAAGUUAGGAAGUGCGGUCCAGCUGUGAGCAUGAGGGAAGGAAAACUAAUUUCAUGAAUAGCUAGCCAGACUCUGCCACACUUGGAUUUAUCGACAAGCAGGGAAAAAUUAAACAGAGAAAGAUGGGUAUAAAAGUAAAUGUGAUCCUCUAUUGGCUGGAAUAUGUCACAAGUGAGACACUAGGAAGUCUGGUGGGCUGAAGGGAGGGAUGUAAAAUAAGACUAAACUCUUAUCAUAACUCAGAGUUGAUUAUUAUUAUUUUUUUGAUGUUAUAGACUCAAGUUGCAAUACUGGAAAAGGGGCAAUCACGUCCAUACCCUGGCAGUGCAGUGGAGUGGAAAAAGCGAGGAUUUCGGAGCCAGAUUAGACCUGGACUUGAACCCAACCUCUCCACACUACUACCUGUGUUGCCUCAAGCUACCCAAGCUCUCUGAACUGCAUGUUCCUCUUCUCUAAGAUGAAGAUAGGAAGAUUUAAGAUAUGAGAUUAAACUCUGCCAGACCAUGAUGAAUUAUCCUUUCCUCGUAUUGCUGAAGUUAAUUUUACAUAUGUCAUCAACAAUUUUUGCAUUUAUGUUCUUGAGGGAUAUUCCUCUUUAAUUCUAUUUCCUUGUAAUAUCAUUAUCUGGUUUUGUUAUUAAGGUUACUAUGCUGGCCUCAUAAAACAGGUUUGGAAGUCUUCUCUUUUCUCUUUCGUGAAAAUGUUGGUAUAGGAUUAACAUUGCUUCUUCGUUAAAUGUUCAAUAGAACUCAGCAAGAAAGUCAUACUUUAUGAGAAAGUUUUGAAUAAUAAAUUCAGCUUUGUUCAGAGAUAUUCAGGGAUGUAGCUAUUUACAUUAUAAUUCCUUCUUGUCAUUUGAUAAAAAUAUAUUUUCUUCUUGUCAUUUGAUAAAAAUAUUUUUCAAGGAAUUUUUCCCUUUCAUCUAAGUUAUUGAAUUUAUUUGUAUAAGAUUAUUCAUAUUUCCUUAUUACUUAAAAAACAUUUCUGUUUUGAAAUAAAUUUAUAUUACAGAAGAGUUGCAAAGAUAGUACAGAGAGUUCCAGUAUGUCUUUCACCCAGCUUCCUUUAGUAUUAACAUUACAUAACCAUGGUAAAUUUGUCAAAAACUAAGAAAUUAACAUUGAUACAAUACUACUAAUUAAAGACAAUUUAGAUGUCACCAAUUUUUACACUAAUGUCUCUUUUUCUGUCCUAGGAUCCAGUGUAGGAUACUAUACAUCAGUUGUUUUUCACCCUCAUCUCAUCUGUGACACUUUCUCAGUCUAUUCUUGCUUUUCAUGAUGUUGACAGUUUGAUAAUUUAAGUGGCAAAUAUUUUGUCCUAUUUUUUUAAAUUAAAGUUUUGUAGUUUUGAGUUUUAAUUUUGUUCUCCAAUCCAUAUUUGAAUUAAUUUUUACAUAUAGUAUGAGGUGCAGAUCCAAGGUAAAUUUUUUUUCUGUAUAUGCAAGGCCAACUUUUCCAGAACCAUUUGUUGAAAAGUUGACCCUUUCUUCACUCAGUUGUCUUUGUCAAAAUAGAUUGUC
RNAcentral lists this long non-coding RNA (1805 nucleotides) under Equus caballus (horse). RNAcentral's name for it is "lncRNA (ENSECAG00000046914.1)". Lineage: Eukaryota; Metazoa; Chordata; Mammalia; Perissodactyla; Equidae. The record is from RNAcentral.